GUGAAUCAUCGAAUCUUUGAACGCACAUUGCGCCCGCCAGUAUUCUGGCGGGCAUGCCUGUUCGAGCGUCAUUUCAACCAUCAAGCCCCCGGCUUGUGUUGGGGACCUGCGGCUGCCGCAGGCCCUGAAAACCAGUGGCGGGCUCGCUAGUCACUCCGAGCGUAGUAGUUACAUCUCGCUCAGGGCGUGCUGCGGGUUCCGGCCGUUAAAAGCCUUAUUUACCCAAGGUUGACCUCGGAUCAGGUAGGAAGACCCGCUGAACUUAAGCAUAUCAAUAAGCGGAGGA
This 286-nucleotide unclassified non-coding RNA is filed under the name Chaetomiaceae sp. RNAcentral describes it as "partial contains 5.8S ribosomal RNA, internal transcribed spacer 2, and large subunit ribosomal RNA". The stretch from base 1 to 71 matches the Rfam family "5.8S ribosomal RNA", at positions 84 to 154 of the family's 154-position model. The record is from RNAcentral. Lineage: Eukaryota; Fungi; Ascomycota; Sordariomycetes; Sordariales; Chaetomiaceae.